This 416-nucleotide long non-coding RNA is filed under the name Capsicum annuum. RNAcentral's name for it is "long non-coding RNA (CANN_LNC006294)". The record is from RNAcentral. Lineage: Eukaryota; Viridiplantae; Streptophyta; Magnoliopsida; Solanales; Solanaceae.
CCAGUUACAGCUCACCGAGGACAUGACCCUAGAUAGGAAGGUCUGGAAGUCGCGAAUUACGGCAGAAGAGUAGGGCCAGAUUGGGUCGCUAGUGUAGGGAAUUACUUGGUGGGGUUUUUUUUUAUUUUUUAUUCCCGUUAUGAUUCCGUAUUCAGUGUUCCAUGCUUAUUACGAAUCUGUGUGCUUUCCUCUGCUUUCCUCUGUUUUAUAUUCCUUAUGGGUGCCGUAUUUAUGUUAUGUCAUCUGCUUCUGUUCUUUACUAUGUGUUUGUGUGAUAUCUUGUGCCUUGAGUCGGGGUUCUUUCGGAAACAGCCUUUCUACUUCAUCAGAGGUAGAGGUAUGGACUGCGUACAUCUUACCCCCCCAGACCCCACUAAGUGGGAAUACACUGGGUUUGUUGUUGUUGUUGUUGUUGU